This 1276-nucleotide long non-coding RNA is filed under the name Olea europaea subsp. europaea. The record is from RNAcentral. Lineage: Eukaryota; Viridiplantae; Streptophyta; Magnoliopsida; Lamiales; Oleaceae.
CAAACUAUAAAUCAUUUACAUAUUCACAUUCAGAAAUAUUAUUCAUUUAUUAUUCACAUACUUUGUGGAUCCAUCAUUAUUAUUAUCUCUAUUUACAAAUUAUCUAUAAAUCUGCCAAAAGGAGGAUAAGACAUGACUUCUCCAUCUCUUCUUCUGCUUCUUCUUUUUUUUUUUUUUUUCCCUUUUCCAUGCACGCCUUUAUCAGAACCAAGUUUGAUUUCCUAACCACAGUGACAGUAGUUAUAAUGUCCAUUGUGGGUAUGAUAAUAUGUGGUGUUGUCAUAUUAUACUUCCACUGCUGACGUGACAACACCACAUGUUGCCACAUCCACAACAAACAUUAUAACUCCUGUUUACAAUGGACAAGAGAUCAGGUCAACUAUCAUAGCAUAUUUUGCUAAGCUUAAAAAUUUAGCAUCUAAACUAAUGUAAAAAUUACUUGUAAGUGAUUUUUUUUCUUAAAAGUAAAAAAGAAGGUUAACUGUUCAAACACCUUUGGAAGAGUUACAGUAAUCCUCAGGGGUCUUACCCAGUUUUUCAAGAAGUCUAGGGAAAGGGAAGGAGAGCAUAAUUCAAGCAAGGUGAGAAAGUGAAGUUUCAGUUUAUUUUGAUACAAUUUUUGGAACGGAAUCAUCUUAACUGAAGUGUCCGUACUUAUUUUUCUUGGAGUACAAGCUCACGGAAGAAAUUAACAAAACAUAAUUGGUUGCAAUAUUCGAGCCAAAGAGCACUACAGUGUUUUAGACACACUUGCGAAUAUUAGUCGAUAGUAGGGAGAAAAAGAAAUAGCUGCAGCUUGGAUCCUUAUUGCUCUUGCUAUAGCAUUAUCCGGCUUUAAUCUUUUGCCUAUUGUCUCGAUCCGGAUAAUUCUUAAAGCACCAGCUUCUGAGAAUAAUUUUCUGUAAAUGCUUUGUCCGAUAAAAUAACUUUUAUAGAAAGUUAACCUAAGAAGUAGAAGUCCUGCCGAACGGCCUCCUAGUAUUACCUCAAGUAAUGUAAAGAUGUGCCAUGAACUAGUUGAGUCUCUCAAGACAAAAUAACAAUUUAGUGCAAUAACCAAAUUAUGCAUGUAAAUUAAUUUUUUUUUCACUGCUGUAAAUUGUACCGUUUAGUUCAUUAAUAAAUAAAGUCAAUUUUGUUCGAUCUUUUUAAUUUUUAGAUUUUAUUUAUUAUUGUUUAUGAAAGAAAGAAUGAAGGAAUAAACUUUCAAAAUAAAUAUUGUACACAACUUUUGUGCACUUUAAGGAAUUCAAUCGGCUGUCGGUUAGGCGAUGUU